CCCCACAGGUUCUGCACCGGGGACGAGGAGGAACCAAMGUUUGGUGCUUGUGAGGGUCUCCUGAAAGAGGAACAAAGGGAAGGGUCCAAAUUACAGCCAGGCCAUUGACAUUGUUGCCACAUUUUCCAUGUGCCUGGUCUAGAMUGCUUUGCUAAUAUUCACUACCAUUUGCGAUGCAUUUCAUGCUUCAUCCGAAAACAACCGAAUUCACAAUAAAAUGUAGCGCUGCAUCAGCAGUAAUCCUUUUUGUGUAGAGUUUUUACAGUUGGACUUAAAAAAUCUUACCGCAUUAUAAUUACAUCUGUAUGUAUAAUUAUACAUAUAUAUAAAUGUACAUAUAAUAUUAUAUUAUAAUUACAAAAAAACAAGUUUGCUUUUGAGUUUAAUCAGUUUUUAUGCGCCACAGAUGCUAAUCUUAUAAUCAUAUCAUCAGCAUACCAAUUCUCUAACCAUAGCAUUAACAUUCUAAUUUUACAACUAUAAGAUUUCUUAUGCUAACUUAGCAUGGUGUUAGCAUGCUAAUUAUCCAACCAUCGAAUUAGCUUGCUAAUUUUUCAGUCAUAGUUGUAGAAUGCUAGUUUACCCAGAUGUUGGCAUGCUAAUUAUCCAAACAGUUAUAGCAUGCCAAUUUUUCAACAAUGCGAUUUGCGUCCUAAUCUCUCAACCGUAGCAUCCAAUGCUUUUUGUAAAUAUUUAGGAUUUAGUCUCCGUUUUGAGACAUUUUUUCUGAACAUUUGUGACUUAAAAUAUCUGGCAUCCUAAUCGGAGACACGGCUGAUAAAGAAAGUGUCUGCAGAUUUUUAAGAAAAACUGCUACCUUUUGGGUCGAUUGUCACGUCAAUCAACACAUAAAACGUGUAACAUAAAGCAUAGUUAAUUGUAUUCAACUAGAAAACACACAUUUAAUCCCCAGUUUGUCUCAGGUGUGGCACAAGCUCCUGUUGCCGCAUUUUCGAUGAAAACCUCAGAGACGAGUGAGAACCAGCGAAUGAAAGGAGCAGCAUUACGUAACUGCAUCAUUCAGAGAUGCUGACAAUGCAACCAGACAUGUUAGUCAUUGCUAGGAAAGGAGGGAUGGGGGGGAAUUUGUUUGUGGACUAAUCCAGAAAGGCUUCAGACAAACAGCCGUGCAAAGUGUGGAGGAAGGCAUUUCAAAGCAGCCAUAACCGCAGAGAAUGCUCCGCUAAGCUCACACCUCUGCCAUGAAGGUUACACUCUGAGGAUAACUAGAUGCACAGCAGAGCUGCAUGUAAUUUCAUUUUACAUGACACCCCAGUUAUAUAAAGUUCAGGCAGACAAAGGAGGCGUCCCUGCGGAGGACCUUGACUCGGCUCUUCGGGCUGCAGUUUGAGGCGUUGCGAAAGCAGCAUGUGUCACCAGAUGUAGUGAUGAAGAGUUGCUUUUUUGUCCCAAACCGACGGCGCCGAACACACUACAGCCGACACCACCUUUCCACACAGCGCGAACGAUGUGAGGAGGAUCUAUGUCAGGAUGGCAAACCUGGGUCCAGAGGGAUUCUCAGACAUCUUCAGAGCACAUGUUCGCCGAAAGUGCAGAGGAAUAUUUGACUUGACAGAGCAUGCUGAGGCAAUUCUCCAACAACAAAGUUCUAUUGUGCUCAACUCUGAGCUCCAUUGUUUAAWUCCCUUCUAACUGACGCUCGUCUGUAGAAACUAAAGAUCCCUUUUAUGUAAAAAUAACAGGCUAAAAGAUCCAGAAAAAUUCUAGAAUCGCCAACCAGCUCAGCACUGCAGGACCGCAAUUAGCGGUCCGAGCUAACAGCGGUUAGACCCAGGGGCCUUACAUUGACSCCUSGGUCAAUGURWGGCCCGUCUACUGUCCCUAAAGUAGGAUGAUGACAAUUUAUGACUGACCAAAUUCUUACGUUUYAUUAAAAUUAGAGAAGACUUUCAUUUCAGCGCCUUUCUGUGAAAGAAACUUUCAAACUCUGGGGAAAUAUUUUAGAAAUUCGKGAAAACAUGAAUUGCCUCUCCUAACAACCUUGAAGGUGAAAGAUAAAUAUGAUGCAACCURAAAGAAGCCAGUUUUAUUUCUGGAGAUUAAUUGCAUGCACAUGAAGGUGUCAAAAUGUGAUUCGUUUCUACCACAGAGAGCGAAACUGAAGCUGCGUUUGAUAAAUUUAGUCAAUAAUUGAUUUUGUUUGCYAGAUUGAUUUUGUGGUCAGGGGAGGCAGGUGAGUAAACCUGGUAAGUAAAAAUAAAGCCAUGAGAAAUAAAAUAGGCGCUAACAACGAUGAAAGAAAAUCACUUUGUCCGCUUGGAUUUUCUAUAAACWGUUUUUCUUGUCGGUAAUGUCAACAUUUUAUGGUCAAAAUCUCAGAAUUUACRUAUCGUCUGUUGAAAUACAUGAAAGAAGACCCGGCGAGGCAGUGCAGUACCGUGCCUCAAUGAUAGGAGGCAGUGCUGAUCCCCAUAGACACAAUGAGCAACAGGUGCUCUUCUACGGAUUGAAUAGAUUGUCGAGGGAAAAUACGGAUGGAGCAGAACUGCUCAAAAAGACAACAAAUAGAAAACCUUUUAAGUUUUUUAUUAAUUAAAUUUUAAAAAAAGGUCAAUUCUGUUCCUAAAUGCAAAAUGUUGUCUACAUUUAUUUUCAUGUAAAUGUAAAUACGAGACUAAAUAAUUAUGCAACAAUGUCAGUAGUUUUUAAAAACUUACUUGUGACAUUAAUUUUCUAUAUUGUUGCCUAAAAUCUAGCAAUCUAGCCCUGUUAAACUGAAAUGAUCACUUAUUUCUAAGCAAAACUGCUAAAUUAAAAGAUAAUUUUUUGUUAAAUGUAAAUAUUUGUUAUUUUAAUAAACCCCAAGCAAAUCGUACGUUAUUAUGGCCGAAACCAACCGUGUUUCAGUUUUUGCUCCGUCAAAAUAUGCUACUAAUCAUAAACAUUAUCACUAUUUUCCUAAAUUGGGAGUUUUCGUUAUGCUAUUUAUGAUUUCUUCCAUAAAUCUUGGUAAAAUAUGUUGCCAAUAUCUGUCCACGUCAACAUUGUGAUUAUUUCUUGACGCCUUCAUAGAAAGAAUCUGAAGAUUUCUGUCCCAGUUGAUGCUGAUUUAGCCUAACCGUUUAAAGUGAAACAGAAGUCUGAUGUUUUCCAGCCUGCAGCCUGUAGACGUUUGCUAAUUAUUACUCAUCCUGGGUGACCUUAAACCCAGAGACAUGUUGCAUUGUGGGAAAGUGAAACUUGCCGCCUGAACACGGCUCCAACUCCACGUCGAUCUGUGGAAAUGAGAGAAGGAUGCUGCGUGUAAUCAGCUGUUUACAGCCGCCGCAGCAGCCCCAGCCUAAUAGCUCCAACAUGGCUGACAUGGGCUCAAUUACAUCACCUAAAUGAAUGCCCUCUGUUCCAGAUCACCCAGCUGCAUGUUUCCAGUUUACCCACUCUGGGGUGUGAGAGGAUGAAGAAGAAGAGGAGGAGGUGGGAGCGGCAUCCAGAGGAAGACGCAUGUAAACCCAUUUCCAAACAAACGGGCCAGUGUGCACAGCGCCACCCGGCAUAAUGCCUGAAUGAAUCAACGCGAGCAACCGCACAACAGGACAUGGCGGCCAUUUAACACUGGUGAGCCGAUGGUGAUUAUACUGUACACAUGCAGAAAUGAAACCAGUUAACCAGUUGAUGUUGAGGCUCACACAUGUUUACACUCCAGAAAGUUCUACAUUUUAAUUUAAAGGCCUUUAUGCAGUCAGGAUUUUAUUGAACUGACCUGCAGCCACAUUGUGGGAGUAGAUUUAGUGACGUGAGGGGGAGGGUUAGCCAAAAUUAGAUCCAAAAUCAUACAAAUGUAUAAUUAGUAAUGAUGAAUUAUGAAUGUAAGAAUGUGGAUUUGAUCUGUUAACUAAUAUAUAAACAACAACUAUGCCUGAAUAUGCAUUAAAACACAGUGGACAUCAUCUUAGCACUGCCAUAGAAGCUAACAUCUACCGUCUUCCUUAUCUCCACUUUUUAGGUGUUCAGCCAAUCAACACCAAGGAAAAUAAACGGCACUCCAUGAUUGGCUCCUCUGCAAAUCAUGGAGAAAGUCAGCUAGCAUUGAGCCCAGGGAUCUCUGGGAAAUUUAUCCAGGAAUCCUCACUGUAUAUUAAUGCAUAGAGGAGGGGCCCCAUGGCUCUAUGGGCCCCAAACGUUCCUGGUGCAGACGCGGAGAGGACAUUAGCGUUUCCUGAUGUAAGGAAAGCCCAGAGGGGCAUUUUUUAGUAGAUUACUUAAAAGAUGAAGCGAGCGACCAGAGGGUGACAACCACAAGUUCAUUCCACCAGGUAAUUUUGG
Non-coding RNA from Poecilia reticulata (guppy), 4284 nucleotides. The record is from RefSeq and is a predicted model, not a curated record. Lineage: Eukaryota; Metazoa; Chordata; Actinopteri; Cyprinodontiformes; Poeciliidae.